This 431-nucleotide long non-coding RNA is filed under the name Panax ginseng (ginseng). Its description in RNAcentral is "long non-coding RNA (PGIN_LNC001255)". The record is from RNAcentral. Lineage: Eukaryota; Viridiplantae; Streptophyta; Magnoliopsida; Apiales; Araliaceae.
UUUACUUAUCAAUUUAAAAUUUUCAAAAUAUGUAUAUACAGUAUACCCUAUGAGUACAAUGGCAGAUGGAAAUAUAGGAGUAUAGGACUAUACAAUUUGACCAAUAAAAGAAACACAUUGAAAUUUGUGCGUAAUUGGUAUGCAACCCACUCUCUUUAGUCUUUAAUUACUUUCCCAAAAUCAAAAUCAUUCUCUCAGUGUCAUUUCAAAUUCUUCUCUUCAUCUUUUUACUUUUGUAAGGCCUUCUCUUAGAACCAACGACUAUUCCCAUCUCCGCCAUGAAAGUAGUAACUUCCGAUCGGAUGAAAUCAACACACAGAAUUUCUGGUUUGAACGGUCUAACCAUGGGUUUUUAACACUUCAAGUUAACCUCAAUAAACCGGAUCGUUUUGUUGAUCGAUUCUCAUUUUAAUUGGUCCGAUCGGUCCGAG